GGUAGUGUAGCAUAGUGGUAAGGAGCUGGGCUCAUAACCGAAUGGUUGCUGGGUUCGAUUCCCCACUGGGG
Non-coding RNA from Megalops atlanticus (tarpon), 71 nucleotides. The record is from the annotation of a GenBank genome assembly. Lineage: Eukaryota; Metazoa; Chordata; Actinopteri; Elopiformes; Megalopidae.